CUGGCUCAGGACGAACGCUGGCGGCACGCUUAACACAUGCAAGUCGAACGGAGUUAAUUUUGGUUUACUGAGAUUAACUUAGUGGCGGACGGGUGAGUAACACGUGAGCAACCUGCCUCUGAGAAAGGGAUAGCUUCUGGAAACGGAUGGUAAUACCUUGUAACAUAACGAAGCCGCAUGACUUUGUUAUCAAAGAUUUAUCG
RNAcentral lists this ribosomal RNA (203 nucleotides) under Ruminococcus flavefaciens. RNAcentral describes it as "16S rRNA. Bacterial SSU". It matches the Rfam family "Bacterial small subunit ribosomal RNA", at positions 19 to 217 of the family's 1533-position model. The record is from RNAcentral. Lineage: Bacteria; Bacillati; Bacillota; Clostridia; Eubacteriales; Oscillospiraceae.